Molecule: ribosomal RNA, 465 nt
Filed under: uncultured bacterium
Lineage: Bacteria
Description: bacterial SSU rRNA
Rfam family: Bacterial small subunit ribosomal RNA
Source: RNAcentral
AUUGAACGCUGGCGGCAGGCCUAACACAUGCAAGUCGAGCGGUAGAGAGGUGCUUGCAUCUCUUGAGAGCGGCGGACGGGUGAGUAAUGCCUAGGAAUCUGCCUGGUAGUGGGGGACAACGUUUCGAAAGGAACGCUAAUACCGCAUACGUCCUACGGGAGAAAGCGGGGGAUCUUCGGACCUCGCGCCAUUAGAUGAGCCUAGGUCGGAUUAGCUAGUUGGUGAGGUAAUGGCUCACCAAGGCGACGAUCCGUAACUGGUCUGAGAGGACGACCAGCCACACUGGAACUGAGACACGGUCCAGACUCCUACGGGUGGCAGCAGUGGGGAAGUUUUGGACAAUGGACGCAAGUCUGAUCCAGCCAUUCCGCGUGCAGGAUGAAGGCCCUCGGGUUGUAAACUGCUUUUGUACGGAACGAAAAGGUUUGUACUUAAUACGAUGAGCUCAUGACGGUACCGUAAGAA